RNAcentral lists this ribosomal RNA (256 nucleotides) under uncultured soil bacterium. RNAcentral describes it as "partial 16S ribosomal RNA". It matches the Rfam family "Bacterial small subunit ribosomal RNA", at positions 26 to 288 of the family's 1533-position model. The record is from RNAcentral.
AGGACGAACGCUGGCGGCGUGCUUAACACAUGCAAGUCGAGCGGAAAGGCCCUUCGGGGUACUCGAGCGGCGAACGGGUGAGUAACACGUGAGUAACCUGCCCCAGACUUUGGGAUAACCCCCGGAAACGAGGGCUAAUACCGAAUAUUACUUCUGCCCGCAUGGGUGGUGGUGGAAAGUUUUUCGGUUGGGAUGGACUCGCGGCCUAUCAGCUUGUUGGUGGGGUAAUGGCCUACCAAGGCGAGGACGGGUAGCC